Spea bombifrons (plains spadefoot toad) is the source of this 1030-nucleotide long non-coding RNA. RefSeq lists it as uncharacterized. The transcript is spliced from 2 exons. The record is from RefSeq and is a predicted model, not a curated record. Lineage: Eukaryota; Metazoa; Chordata; Amphibia; Anura; Pelobatidae.
CGCGGGACCCGCCAAAGAACUUGCGGGCGCGGGCGGUUUUUCAGCUAUUGCGGGCGGGAGCGGGCGGUCAGCCAGUGUACCUGCGGGUCCCGGUAAUCCCGCGCAGUCCCGCAAGGCUGCCUUCUCGCUGCUCCCUCACAGCGUCACUUCUCUUGUUCUGCCCAGGAACACAGCGGAGUCACGUGAUUUAACAUCUCAUCAAAUGACUCUGCUCCGUUCCUGCGGGAAAAGAAAAGAGACCUUCUGUGAGAGCAACCUGAAGGCAGCCUUGAGUGCGCGGGAAAUCUGCAAUUCUGAUAAGGCAGUGAAAGAGUUUGUAUUAACCAGUAUGUAUGAUUUAGGGAAUAGAUCAAUGGAUGUUUGUGAAUGACUUCUGCUGGGGCUUCUAUGAUGGGGGAGAGUGGCACACCAGGGGGCAUAGUGGCAUAUUGGGGAGCACAGUGGGUUAUCUGGAGAUAUAUGCAUAACUGGGGGCACAGUGUCAUAUCAAUGGUUGGAGUGGCAUAUCAUGGGCACAGUGGCAUAUAAGUGUCUAUAAGGCAUAACUGGGGGCACAGUGGCAUAUCAGGGUCUAUAAGGCACACCAGGGGGCUAUAGGGCACUCCAGGGGGGACAGCACAGUGGCAUAUGUGGAGAUAUAAGGCAUAACUGGGGGCACAGUGGCAUAUUAGGGGUUGGAGUGGCAUAUCAUGGGCACAGUGACAUAUAAGUGUCUAUAAGGCAUAACUGGGGGCACAGUGGCGUAUCAGGUGUUGGAGUGGCAUAUCAGGGGGUACAUGGCAUAUCAUGGGCACAGUGGCAUAUCUGGGGGGUAUAAGGCAAAUCUAGGGGGCAGAGUGGCAUAUAGGGGGAUAUAAGGCAUAUCUGGGGUAGAAAGUGGCAUAUAGGGAAAUAUAAGGCAUAUCUGGGGGGCAGAGUGGCAAGCCUGGGGUCAGAUAUGCAUAACUGGGGGGCAGGUUGGCAAAUAAGAAAAAUAAAAACAAGAAAUACAUUUUUCUCAAUUAUACUUUUUAUUAAAUAUGAAAACAUA